GGCAUCAGAUCUGCUACCCUCCUCCCUGUUUCUUCCUCCUCCCUCUUCAGUUAGUCUCUUCAGUUGGUGACAAACUGGAAUUCAGUUCUGAGCCCUUCAUCACAGGAAACAAUUUGUGUAUUAGGGAACUGGAAGCCUUUGGGAAAUGGGAUGCCUCAAAUGAAUAUGCUACCUAAUAUCCUCAAGAGGGUAACUUGGAGGUCCCUGGGUCUCAGUUUCAUCUUCUGUAUAAUGAAGUAAUGAUUCUUCAC
This 251-nucleotide long non-coding RNA is filed under the name Monodelphis domestica (gray short-tailed opossum). Its description in RNAcentral is "lncRNA (ENSMODG00000036512.1)". The record is from RNAcentral. Lineage: Eukaryota; Metazoa; Chordata; Mammalia; Didelphimorphia; Didelphidae.